RNAcentral lists this ribosomal RNA (253 nucleotides) under uncultured bacterium. RNAcentral's name for it is "partial 16S ribosomal RNA". It matches the Rfam family "Bacterial small subunit ribosomal RNA", at positions 524 to 776 of the family's 1533-position model. The record is from RNAcentral.
UACGGAGGGUGCGAGCGUUAAUCGGAAUUACUGGGCGUAAAGCGCGCGUAGGUGGUUUGUUAAGUGGGAUGUGAAAGCCCUGGGCUCAACCUAGGAAUGGCAUCCCAAACUGGUAGACUAGAGUACAAUAGAGGGGUGUGGAAUUUCCUGUGUAGCGGUGAAAUGCGUAGAUAUAGGAAGGAACACCAGUGGCGAAGGCGGCACCCUGGAUUGAUACUGACACUGAAGUGCGAAAGCGUGGGUAGCGAACAGG